UUAAGUUCAGCGGGUAGUCCUACCUGAUUUGAGGUCAAAUUGUCAGAAAGUUGUCUCAAGAGACGAUUAGAAGCUGAAACCCCAUUAUAAGCUGCUUGACCACAAUGGCGUAGAUAAUUAUCACACCAAAGCCAGGCAACAAAGGGUCCUGCUAAUGAAUUUAAGGAGAGCCGACUUCUGAGAAGCCCGCAUACUCCCAC
RNAcentral lists this unclassified non-coding RNA (200 nucleotides) under Tricholoma sp. RNAcentral describes it as "partial internal transcribed spacer 2". The record is from RNAcentral. Lineage: Eukaryota; Fungi; Basidiomycota; Agaricomycetes; Agaricales; Tricholomataceae.